Long non-coding RNA from Camelus dromedarius (Arabian camel), 1103 nucleotides. RefSeq lists it as uncharacterized. The transcript is spliced from 3 exons. Lineage: Eukaryota; Metazoa; Chordata; Mammalia; Artiodactyla; Camelidae. The record is from RefSeq and is a predicted model, not a curated record.
CCCAUGCGGCAGUCAGUUUGUUUUUUAUUGAAUGCAUGACCUCUCUCUUUGCAUGAGAGGCUCAGCAAUUUAAGGCCGAUGUCUGUUUUCAUCAUUGCUGACUCCUGACUGCCUGGCACAGUGUUGGUGAAUUGACUGGAACCAGACAAAGCUUCCUAGAAUUGAUGACAACUUACCUGAGCCUGGAAUGAUCUGCAGAAUUUCUGCAGGCCAGUGAAGAAUGGAUGAACACUGCAGCUGAGGAAUAAUGUGAGAAAAAGCCAGUGAUGCUGAAAACAGUUCUUUCAAGCUGGAACCUCAACCAGCCUCCAGUUGGAAGUUCAAGCACAUUUUGUCUCUAGUUCCUACCUUCAUCCUGACGAUAAAGCAAAUGCUUUUGUCAUCUGCAUCCUCAAGUCUCCUUCUCCAUCCCUUAGACCAAUAUGGUUUGGAAAAGUGCUGAGAAGACCAAGCCUUAUUUGUACUCCCCACACUCCUCUCCAAGAGAAAUCACCCAGUCUCCACCAUGCAGAGCUGAUUGGACCAGAAAUGGGUAUCUGAACCAAGGAGAGUCAAUCCUAGGCUGGCUACCUAACCAUCUAUGGCCAGUGCAGAAAGAUAAGCUGGACCAAUUCUACUCUCUCGUGGUAGGUGACAUGAAACGAAUUUUCCAGCUGGCAGUGAAGCUGAAGGUGAGGGGUGACUCUUAGCAUUGCAAAACCAAGAAUAUAUCCAAUUCAAAGUUGUGAGAGAUCAGAAAACAGACGGAGUACAGGAGGAGGAAGCUGACUUCCAGAAAGACAUCCCAAAAGUGGUGCAGAGAGAAGAGACAGUUGAGUCAGGGGAGGAAGGGACAAGUCUGCACUAACCAAUGGACAUUGAGGAAGCAUGAAGAGGAGAGCCAAGGCACCACGAAAAUGCAGGGGCUGAGCUGUUGGCAGAUGCAUGUGGGGGUCCAGCCAUGACCAGAAUGGCCCAGAUGAGCCCAGUCUGAAUUGCCAAGUUUCAGAAUCGUGAGCAAACUAAAUAACUUUUGUUUUAUGCUGCAGAGUUUGGAUUGGUUUUUUGCACAAUAGAAACUAACUAAUAUACUCUCUAUGGGAUAAAUGAGUAGCUUAUCAAGA